CAAUCAGGUCUCCCCCCCCACUACAUGGCUCAAAUGGAAUGUUAAUGCCUCUUCCUUGGGCAAACCUGGUAAAAGUGCUAUUGAAGGGGUCUUUCUUUAGGAACUAAAAUGCCAUGUAUUUUCUCUUGUCCUUCGGGGAUCUUGAAAUCUAAUGAAGCUGAAAUUAAGGUCAUCCUCGAAGCUUUAGAGCUGUCAUCUUCUUCGCCAGCACUUGGAUGUAGCUCUUCCCCAAUCCUCAUUGAGUUCGACUCAGCACUCAGCUCCCAGGGUCUGAAUGGUUUGGAAGAUUUUGUGGCAAUCCUUUAAUGGCUACCUUUUGCCUUGCCC
RNAcentral lists this unclassified non-coding RNA (327 nucleotides) under Hevea brasiliensis (rubber tree). The record is from RNAcentral. Lineage: Eukaryota; Viridiplantae; Streptophyta; Magnoliopsida; Malpighiales; Euphorbiaceae.